This is a long non-coding RNA of Cannabis sativa, 1163 nucleotides long. RefSeq lists it as uncharacterized. Lineage: Eukaryota; Viridiplantae; Streptophyta; Magnoliopsida; Rosales; Cannabaceae. The record is from RefSeq and is a predicted model, not a curated record. The transcript has 3 exons.
GACGAGGUUAAGUCAUUCCAAGUUUGUAUCACCCUAUACAAAGAUGUAAAUUUGGAAUAUUACUGGUGUAUAAAUAAGAUUGCAAUGCAAUGUUUCUCUUUUUUACUGGUUCAUAUGAUACUCAUUCUAUUCCAUUAAUAUUUUUUUGCUGCUAUUUUAAUUGGUUUAUAAUCAUGUAUUGUUCACUACUUUAUGUAAAAAAAAAGUUUAUACUGAUGGUGUUUUUAUUAUUACUUAUAGCAGAUAUAAAAAUUUAUGAAGCCUCUUCAAGUGCGGCAUUUCUACUCUUGGCAAUUUCUUUUUCUUAUCAUCAUUUCAUUCAUUCAAUCUAUUCAAUCCAUUUUUCAUUUUCAUUCAUCAAUGUCUUUUAAAGAUUCUGUUUGUUAGGGCGAAAGGGUGUUAGAAAUUCAUUCUCAUUCGUGUGGUUUUCUCUUAUGUGCUUUCAAUGUAGGAAUCUGAUGUAGGAUAGAGAAAGGCAAGUAAAAGAAAGUUGAGGCAUGGUGUUUCUACAUGCCCAUCAAUUCUUUCUCCAGAAUUACAAUCCCAAAAACUCAAGAAACGACCCAAAAUACAAUCUUCCAUUGACAAAGUAUUUACUUGUGGUUGCUAUUGCGAUUGUUGAAUGAAAUUCGUGUGGAUCUUUUUGAGCUCAAGUAGGGAAAUAUGGUCUACAUUUCCUAGGCAGGAGGAAGCGAUGAAGUUUUCCAAGGAGCAUGAUCAUGCUCGUGUUUUCAGUUACCAAGAUCAUUUUAAUGGGCAAAGAAGGUCCCUUGUUUCAACUUAUAUAGAAUUCUGGAAAAGAUACAAGAAUACAGAUUCAAAUUUUUGCCACCAUUAUGAAGUGAUUCAGGAGGUGUAAAUCUAUCGAUACUCUCAGAUCAACCAAGAUAAAAACUGUGAAAUUACUGCCGCCCCCUUGGUCUUUAAGGAACACGAUUGUUGGGACAUCUUGCUGGUCUAACUGUGUUCUAAUAUUUGUAACGAAUGCACACUUAAGUGAAUCAAUUCAGGGUCUUAGCUCUCUCUAGGGUCUUUUGGUAUAACUGCAAGAGAGCUUGCUCAUGGUCAUGUUCCUUUCUCAAGAUACCCUCCAAUAAAGGUGCAUAGCUUGCUCAAUUUAUUAGACUCUAAUCACUUUAAUUACGAAUAGAGUUUAAUCUGAA